GUUGUGAGGUUAAGCGACUAAGCGUACACGGUGGAUGCCCUGGCAGUCAGAGGCGAUGAAGGACGUGCUAAUCUGCGAUAAGCGCCGGUAAGGUGAUAUGAACCGUUAUAACCGGCGAUUUCCGAAUGGGGAAACCCAGUGUGACUCGUCACACUAUCAUUAACUGAAUCCAUAGGUUAAUGAGGCGAACCGGGGGAACUGAAACAUCUAAGUACCCCGAGGAAAAGAAAUCAACCGAGAUUCCCCCAGUAGCGGCGAGCGAACGGGGAGGAGCCCAGAGCCUGAAUCAGCAUGUGUGUUAGUGGAAGCGUCUGGAAAGGCGCGCGAUACAGGGUGACAGCCCCGUACACAAAAGCGCAUGUGCUGUGAGCUCGAUGAGUAGGGCGGGACACGUGGUAUCCUGUCUGAAUAUGGGGGGACCAUCCUCCAAGGCUAAAUACUCCUGACUGACCGAUAGUGAACCAGUACCGUGAGGGAAAGGCGAAAAGAACCCCGGCGAGGGGAGUGAAAAAGAACCUGAAACCGUGUACGUACAAGCAGUGGGAGCCCCACCACUAAGCCAGUGGUGAACUCCACAUACGCAUCCUUUGCUGAGGAUACGGUUAACGGAGCGAAAGCGACGUUCAACCGCAAAAGAAGCAGAGGGGGCUUAGUGGUGGGGUGACUGCGUACCUUUUGUAUAAUGGGUCAGCGACUUAUAUUCUGUAGCAAGGUUAACCGAAUAGGGGAGCCGGAGGGAAACCGAGUCUUAAUUGGGCGUUAAGUUGCAGGGUAUAGACCCGAAACCCGGUGAUCUAGCCAUGGGCAGGUUGAAGGUUGGGUAACACUAACUGGAGGACCGAACCGACUAAUGUUGAAAAAUUAGCGGAUGACCUGUGGCUGGGGGUGAAAGGCCAAUCAAACCGGGAGAUAGCUGGUUCUCCCCGAAAGCUAUUUAGGUAGCGCCUCGUGAAUUCAUCUCCGGGGGUAGAGCACUGUUUCGGCUAGGGGGCCAUCCCGGCUUACCAACCCGAUGCAAACUGCGAAUACCGGAGAAUGUUAUCACGGGAGACACACGGCGGGUGCUAACGUCCGUCGUGAAGAGGGAAACAACCCAGACCGCCAGCUAAGGUCCCAAAGUCAUGGUUAAGUGGGAAACGAUGUGGGAAGGCCCAGACAGCCAGGAUGUUGGCUUAGAAGCAGCCAUCAUUUAAAGAAAGCGUAAUAGCUCACUGGUCGAGUCGGCCUGCGCGGAAGAUGUAACGGGGCUAAACCAUGCACCGAAGCUGCGGCAGCGAACGUAUCACCCAAGACAACUUUACGGAGUUGACGAUUGACGGAGCGAAGCGACGUCAAAGCGUUCAUUAAAGUCGAGUUGGCUUAGGGAUACGUUCGUUGGGUAGGGGAGCGUUCUGUAAGCCUGUGAAGGUGUGUCGUGAGGC
This 1421-nucleotide ribosomal RNA is filed under the name Salmonella enterica subsp. enterica serovar Heidelberg. RNAcentral's name for it is "partial 23S ribosomal RNA". It matches the Rfam family "Bacterial large subunit ribosomal RNA", at positions 1 to 1269 of the family's 2925-position model. The record is from RNAcentral. Lineage: Bacteria; Pseudomonadati; Pseudomonadota; Gammaproteobacteria; Enterobacterales; Enterobacteriaceae.